CUUUACUGAAAAAAAUCAAAGUGAAAUUUUUUCUUUUUUUCUGCAAUCAAUUUCUUUUUAGCUUCAUUUUGUCACUCUAAUCCUCACUUUUUGGCUUGUGUUCCAGCGCUCUCUAAAAAGGUUUUAGGUUUUUGACUUUUUUCAAUUUUCACGGAUUGCUACUGCUGCUGCUGCUUCUUCUUCACAGUACACACUCCUCUUUUUGGUAUGUAGAAAAAAUUGUGAUAUUGGAUAUUGCGUUUAAAUUUAAUUCAAUUUUUUCCUCACUUCAGUAUUUCCAACACACUUUUCUCACUUAAAACUAUGUGUUUGCUUAUUUAAUAAUUUUGUACAAAAAACAAUUAUUGCUUUUGUCGGCCGUUUAAAACAUUUAACAUCUUGAUUUUCUUCAAUUGUGAUUUUUUCACUAUAUAUGUAAAACUGAAACACGAAAGCACUGAAGUCAAAGUAGCACCAUGCUCUUACGCCGGUGAGUAUAAGCCGGCUUGGUGAAUCCGCCAGACUAUGGAUUGGGGCCAACUGCGAUGACUGUUUGAUUGAUAUGACGGCAUAAAAUUGACCGCGAAAAAGUGAAUUCCAUUCAUUUUAGCCUUAUUAUAGUUACUCAAAAAAAUAUAACAAUAAGUUGGACAUUUUCCCAGAA
Molecule: long non-coding RNA, 643 nt
Organism: Stomoxys calcitrans (stable fly)
Lineage: Eukaryota; Metazoa; Arthropoda; Insecta; Diptera; Muscidae
Exons: 2
Source: RefSeq, a predicted model, not a curated record